GCGAGAAAACUUUGCAAUGUGCGAAAGCACGACAAGGUUAAUCCGAGUGGUUUCUGCUAAAGAAACCUUUUGUCAGUCCUAGAAACACUAACGAAUAAGGGGUGGGCAAGUUCUGGUGUCAGCCGCCGCGGUAAAACCAGCACCUCAAGUGGUCAGGAUGAUUAUUGGGCCUAAAGCAUCCGUAGCUCGUUUUGUAAGUUUUCGGUUAAAUCCAUGCGCUUAACGUAUGGGCUGCCGGGAAUACUGCAUAACUAGGAAGUGGGAGAGGUAGACGGUACUCGGUAGGAAGGGGUAAAUCCUUUGAUCUAUUGAUGACCACCUGUGGCGAAGGCGGUCUACCAGAACACGUUCGACGGUGAGGGAUGAAAGCUGGGGGAGCAAACAGGAUUAGAUACCCCCGUAGUCCCUGAGCGGGCUGGCAAGGCGCAU
Molecule: ribosomal RNA, 429 nt
Filed under: uncultured bacterium
Lineage: Bacteria
Description: bacterial SSU rRNA
Rfam family: Archaeal small subunit ribosomal RNA
Source: RNAcentral